RNAcentral lists this ribosomal RNA (445 nucleotides) under uncultured bacterium. RNAcentral describes it as "partial 16S ribosomal RNA". It matches the Rfam family "Bacterial small subunit ribosomal RNA", at positions 354 to 796 of the family's 1533-position model. The record is from RNAcentral.
GUGAGGAAUAUUGGUCAAUGGGCGGGAGCCUGAACCAGCCAAGUCGCGUGAAGGAAGAAGGAUCUAUGGUUCGUAAACUUCUUUUGCAGGGGAAUAAAGUGCAGGACGUGUCCUGUUUUGUAUGUACCCUGAGAAUAAGGAUCGGCUAACUCCGUGCCAGCAGCCGCGGUAAUACGGAGGAUCCGAGCGUUAUCUGGAUUUAUUGGGUUUAAAGGGUGCGUAGGUGGUUUGAUAAGUCAGCGGUGAAAGUUUGCAGCUUAACUGUAAAAAUGCCGUUGAAACUGUCGGACUUGAGUGUAAAUGAGGUAGGCGGAAUGCGUGGUGUAGCGGUGAAAUGCAUAGAUAUCACGCAGAACUCCGAUUGCGAAGGCAGCUUACUAAGCUACAACUGACACUGAAGCACGAAAGCGUGGGGAUCAAACAGGAUUAGAAACCCUUGUAGUCC